GACGAACGCUGGCGGCGUGCUUAACACAUGCAAGUCGAACGGAAAGGCCCUGCUUUUGUGGGGUGCUCGAGUGGCGAACGGGUGAGUAACACGUGAGUAACCUGCCCUUGACUUUGGGAUAACUUCAGGAAACUGGGGCUAAUACCGGAUAGGAGCUCCGGCUGCAUGGGGGGGGUUGGAAAGUUUCGGCGGUUGGGGAUGGACUCGCGGCUUAUCAGCUUGUUGGGGGGGUAGUGGCUUACCAAGGCUUUGGCGGGUAGCCGGCCUGAGAGGGUGACCGGCCACAUUGGGACUGAGAUACGGCCCAGACUCCUACGGGAGGCAGCAGUGGGGAAUAUUGCACAAUGGGCGGAAGCCUGAUGCAGCAACGCCGCGUGCGGGAUGACGGCCUUCGGGUUGUAAACCGCUUUCGCCUGUGACGAAGCGUGAGUGACGGUAAUGGGUAAAGAAGCACCGGCUAACUACGUG
This 468-nucleotide ribosomal RNA is filed under the name uncultured bacterium. RNAcentral's name for it is "partial 16S ribosomal RNA". It matches the Rfam family "Bacterial small subunit ribosomal RNA", at positions 28 to 507 of the family's 1533-position model. The record is from RNAcentral.